ACACGACUCCCGGCAACGGAUAUCUYGGCUCUCGCAUCGAUGAAGAACGUAGCGAAAUGCGAUACCUGGUGUGAAUUGCAGAAUCCCGCGAACCAUCGAGUCUUUGAACGCAAGUUGCGCCCGAGGCCAUUCGGCCGAGGGCACGCCUGCCUGGGCGUCACGC
This 163-nucleotide ribosomal RNA is filed under the name Avena strigosa (black oat). Its description in RNAcentral is "5.8S ribosomal RNA". It matches the Rfam family "5.8S ribosomal RNA". Rfam says of the family: 5.8S ribosomal RNA (5.8S rRNA) is a component of the large subunit of the eukaryotic ribosome. It is transcribed by RNA polymerase I as part of the 45S precursor that also contains 18S and 28S rRNA. The record is from RNAcentral. Lineage: Eukaryota; Viridiplantae; Streptophyta; Magnoliopsida; Poales; Poaceae.